This 407-nucleotide ribosomal RNA is filed under the name uncultured bacterium. RNAcentral describes it as "partial 16S ribosomal RNA". It matches the Rfam family "Bacterial small subunit ribosomal RNA", at positions 355 to 753 of the family's 1533-position model. The record is from RNAcentral.
UGGGGAAUUUUGGACAAUGGGCGAAAGCCUGAUCCAGCAAUGCCGCGUGUGUGAAGAAGGCCUUCGGGUUGUAAAGCACUUUUGUCCGGAAAGAAAUCCUUGGCUCUAAUACAGUCGGGGGAUGACGGUACCGGAAGAAUAAGCACCGGCUAACUACGUGCCAGCAGCCGCGGUAAUACGUAGGGUGCAAGCGUUAAUCGGAAUUACUGGGCGUAAAGCGUGCGCAGGCGGUUUGCUAAGACCGAUGUGAAAUCCCGGGCUCAACCUGGGAACUGCAUUGGUGACUGGCAGGCUAGAGUAUGGCAGAGGGGGGUAGAAUUCCACGUGUGAGCAGGUGAAAGUGCGUAGAGAUGUGGAGGAAUACCGAUGGCGAAGGCAGCCCCUGGGCAAAUACUGACGCUCAUGCA